Molecule: long non-coding RNA, 23664 nt
Filed under: Musa acuminata (dwarf banana)
Lineage: Eukaryota; Viridiplantae; Streptophyta; Magnoliopsida; Zingiberales; Musaceae
Description: long non-coding RNA (MACU_LNC006559)
Source: RNAcentral
UUUAAUUUUUCUUGUAAGAAGUGGAAGUCAUCAUCAUCAUCAUCACUUGAGUUUUCUCUCAAGUGGUUUUCUUUGGUUCUAAGUGUCAUGUUCUUCCUGUUCUUUAGAAGAUUAUUCUAAUAUUUAUCAUGUGGCAUACAUAUCAUUUCAUAGGUCAUUAAAGACCUGAUAAGUUCUUCAAGCGAAAAAUUGUUCAAGUCCUUUGCUUCUUGUAUUGCCAUUACUUUUGAAUCUCAACUUUUUGGAAGGGAUCUUAGUAUUUUAUUUACAAGUUCAAAGUUAGAAAAACUUUUAUCAAGUAUUUUUAAACUAGUAACAAUAUCCGUAAAAUGGGUGUACAUGUCUCCAAUGGUCUCACUUGGUUUCAUUCGAAACAACUCAUAACUAUGCAUUAAAAGAUUAAUUUUCGACUCUUUAACUCUACUUGUGCCUUUAUGUGUGACUUCGAGUGUGUAUCACAUAUUAUGUGUAGUUUCAUGUAUAGAAACCCGAUUAAAUUCAUUUUUUCUAAAGCACAAAACAAAGCGUUCAUCGCUUUAGCAUUCAAAGAAAAAGUCUUCCUCUCUAAAUCAUUUCAUUUAUUCAUUGGUUUAGAAGACAUUUGAAAUACCACUUUCAACGAUAUUCCAUAAAGUGAAAUCUAUAGAAAUCAGAAAAAUUCUUAUACGACUUUUUUAAUACAUGUAGUAUGUCCCGUUAAACAUAGGAGGACGAGUGAUAGAUUGACCCUCUAGAUUAUCGAUGAAAGUCAUUCUCUUGGGUGUUAAACAAAUCAAGAAAAACUUGGCUCUGAUACCAACGGUUAGGAUCGAAAUUGGCACUAAGAGGGGCGGUGAAUUAGUGCUUUUGGAAAACUUUCGUCGAUUCAAAAAAAUCUCAUUCGAUGAAAACCAAUACCGAGUGCACUUUACUUAAAGAAAGUGCAAGGUGGAGUGAGCAACAAAAUUAGUAAACAAUAAAGAUAAACAGCGAAGAAGAGUGCACACCGGAUUUAUAGUGGUUCGGUCAUCGUGACCUACGUCCACCCCCGAUUCCUCCUCCGUCGAGGCCACUCGCAUUCACUAACAAUCUUCUUUCAAUGGGUGAAGACCAACUACCCUCUUACAACUCUUUCUUCUUUUCAUAGGUUUAGGAAAAAAUCUUUACAAGUCACUCACUCCUCCCUUAAACAGAUAUCUAAACUUAGAACAAGAGGAGGAGAACUCUCAAAGAAUUACAACAACGUUUUCUCACUUAGACCAUAAGUUUUUGUUCACUUUUCAUGCUUUGUUAAGUAAGAAAGAUUAGGGUAUUUAUAGGCCCCAAAUGGCUUCAAAAAUGAAGCUAAAAAGUGUCUCAUCUCAGAUUUUCGGGGUACUGACGGCACCACCACUAUUAUUGGGCGGUACCAUCGUCUGCCAGACUAACAACUGGUGGUAUCACACCUUGUCAAUCUGAUACUGGGUGGUUCCACCACCCAAUCUAACACUGACACUAGGUGGUACCACCACUCGGUCUAUGUGGUACUACUGCUUGAUAGCCUCGGAGACUAGGCUCCAACGGUACCACCGCUUGUAAGGGCAGUACCACCGCCUGUUAGGGCAGUACCAUGGCUUGAGACUAGGUGGUACCACCACUAGUCUAGGUGAGACCACUGCCCAGUUAGGGGAUGGGAGACUAAGCGUGUUACCAUUGGGACAUCGCUCUUGCAGUUGCAAGCAGCUUGCUUGCGGGUGCCCUACCCGCAGGCGUCGCCACUGCAAGCAAGUCACCGACCACCUGCACGCAAAUGGCAACCAAGGCUACAAGUAGCCUUUGGCCAAUCUGCGAGGGCAGGAAGGGUAGCAUUAGUUACUGCCAUUUCUCCCCUUUGGCAUCAAUAAUUUUGACGUCAAAAGCCUUUCUAAAAUACAAUACAUUAGUUUAAAAUUUAAUCUUUCACACGAACAACCUGGCUCUAAUACCACUGUCGGAAAAUUUGAGAGGCAACAUCACAUGCGCAGUAAAAGAACAAAAAGAAAAAUCUUAGAUUUCCAUAAAAAUGUUUCAUCGUCAGGCAAAGUUUGGUGUCCAAAAAUCGUAAAAUAAAAAAUCACACAUAUAAGAGAGAUGUGUUUUACCUAGGGAGAUCAUUGUUAGUAUCGUGAAUGACACUAAGAGGGGGGGUGAAUUAGUGCUAUCACAAACUUUCGACGAUUUUAAAAAAUUACAUUAGAUAAAGCUCGUAACGGAGAUGCAUUUAAACUUAAAAACAUUCUUAAGAGUGUAAGCAAAAGUAGUAUAUAGUUAAAUAAGAAGGCAAUGAAGGUAAACAAUAAAAGAAAAGAGCACACCUGAUUUAUAGUGGUUUAGUCGUCGUGACCUACGUCCACUCUCGAUUCCUCCUCCAUCGAGGCCACUAGCUUCUAUUAGCGAUCUUCUUUCAAUGGGCGAAUAUCAACUACCAUCUUACAACUCUUUCUCCUUUUCAUAAGUUUAGGAGAUAAUCUUUAUAAGUCUCACACCUCUCUUAGGAUGAUCACAAAUCUUAAGGAAGAGGAGGACACCUAGCACUUUUUCAAGACUUGUACAACUCAGAAUCUCAUGGCUUUUAUUCACUUUUUCAUGCUUUAGCAAGUAGGAAAGAUUGGGAUAUUUAUAGGCCCCAAAUGACUUUAAAAAUUGAGCUAAAAAGUAUCUCAUCCUGGGUUUCUGGGGUACUAGCAGUACCACUACUAGUAUUGGGCGAUACCACGUACUAGGUGGUACCACCGCCUACUCCCCUAACAACUAGUGGUACUACCACCAGUCUAAGCGAUACGACCACCUAACAGAGCCUCAGAGACUGGGCUCUAGCGGUACCACCGCUUGACAAGGCGGUACCACUGCUUGACAGUAUUAAUUGUCGAUAUCACCACCGCCUAGACAAGUUCUGAGAGGCCGAGCCUCAGGCGGUUCCACCGCUAGUCCUAGUGGUGCCACCGCCUGACGUGGCUCUAGGUCACUGAAUGAGCCAAACAACAGGCCUAAUUCAGCCCUAAUUUGGGCCCUAGUUGGCCCCUAAUUGAGUUAGUAGGGUUACACCCAAACCUAACUCAAAUUAAGACCUAACUACAAUGAUUAAGACUUAAACAAUCACAAAACAAGAAGCUACGUUAUCUAGCACAUCAUUUGUUCAUCCAAACUCCUAGGGAACUUCCAAUUCAUCAUCUGAACCUUUGGUGUAUCGCCUGAUCUAUCGGCAUGUUGACUCCCACAACGUUUGAUCUUAGUGCAACGUCUGAUUCUUCCAGCACGAUGCUCGAUCUCUGACUCCGGCCCAACUUCUAAUUGUUUUACUUUAAUUAUUUUGCCUUUUCAUAAUCGUAGUUAGUUCUGCAUCACUUUUCUUAAAAUAUGGAUUAGAUCGUAAAUUCAUCAAUUGAUUUCAUCAUCAAAAUCUGAGAUUCAAUAAUCUCUCCCUUUUUUAUGAUGACAACCAAUUGAUGGAGUUAACCUUAACUCUCCCUAUCUAUAUGUCAUAUCAAAAUAAGGCAAAUUUGAAUUCAAAAGGAAUAAUAACAUUUGAAUUAAAGUGAAACAAUUUUGAUCAUAUCCAACAUAUAUGUGCGUCAUCAUUUAAACAUAGUUUCAAAUCAUUAAAGUAUAACAUGCACAAUUACAACUCAUCAUCACUUAUAACAUGCAUGAUAUCAAAACAAUAAUAUUUUUAAAUCAUUCAUCACAACUUCUCCCCUUUUAUCAUCAAUAAAAAGGAGAAAAAUACAACUAAUAAUUUUUAAAACAUGCAAGCUAGCAAUUUUUACAUCACUUUAGAACAUACAAGCUAGCAAGUCUUAGAUAUAUGAAAGUUAGUAAUAUUUGCUUCUAACUGAAAUGUAUAAGCUAGUAAUUCUUACUUCUCUUUUGAGAUGUGCAUGUUUGUAAGUUUAUGGGCAAGCUAGCCUUCUUGGUUCUCUUGAGAUAUGCAAGAUAGUACUUUUCUUUCUCCCCUUUAUCAUUAUAAAAAAAAGAAGAGGUGAAGAAUUUAAUGGUGCAAAAAUUUCAAUCAUUACAUGAAUCCGAAAUAUCAUGUUAUGAAUCCGAAAUAUUAUGAAUCAUUUUGACAAUUCUUCUUUUUGUAAAAAGUGAAAAGACUCAAGUCAUGAAAACUCAAGAGAAUAAUAGGAAAUCAAUUGUGCAAAAAUUUCAACCAUCAUAUGAACGAAAGAAAGAUCUAGUCAUGAAUAUGAAAGUUUAUGAAUCAAAGCUCUACUUUUGCAAAUAGAAAGAGGAAGGAUUCAUGAUCAUUAUACGUAAAAUAAAAGAUCAAGUUGUGAAUACUAAAAGUUUAUGAAUCAAAUCUCUUCUUUUGUAAAUAGUAAGAAGAAGGAAUGAUUGGAAACGAUCUCGAUUUAAAAAGAAAACUCAAGUUACUAAAAAUCGAGAAAUCCAAAAUAUGUAUAAGAGGAAUUCAUGCAUUAGGAAGAUUUAACAUGCCUAAUUCUCUUAUGAUAAAAUUAAAUUAUUUCUCAUUCAAUGGUUUUGUAAAAAUAUCAGCUAAUUGAUAUUUUGUAUCCAUAAAUUCUAGAGAUAUAUCAUAGUUAUUACAUGAUCUCUAAUAAAAUAAUACAUAAUAUCAAUAUGUUUAGUUCUCGAGUGUUGAAUGAGAUUUUUUGUUAAACAAAUAGCACUGGUAUUAUCGUAUUUUAUAGAGAUGUUUUUCAAAUAAAUUUUAUUCAAAUAACUUAUGCACAACAUGCACCUAUUGCUACAUAUUCAACCUCGGUCGUAGAUAAUGCAACCGAAUUUUAUUUCUUAGAAGACAAAGAAACAAGUGACUGACCUAAGAGUUGACAUGUUCCAGAUGUAGAUUUUCUAUCUAUUCUACAUCCACCAAAGUCAGCAUGGGCAUAAGCAAUUAAUUUAAAUUUGUUGCAUUUUGGAUAUCAUAAUCCUUAUUAGGAGUUCUUUUUACAUAUCUGAAAAUCCUCUUAACAGCUUUUAGGUGAGAUUGCUUAGGAUUAGAUUAAAAUCUAGUACUAAACAUAAUAUCAUGUCUAGUUAUUGUAAGGUAUAGUAAACUAGAUAUCAUACCCCAUAAGUCUUUUGAUCAAAACAUUCUCCAUCAAUGUUCAUAUCUAAUUUUAUAGAAGUGCUCAUUGGUAUAUUAAUAGCCUUAGCACUAUCCAUAUUAAAUCGCUUUAAUAGAUCUAAAGCAUACUUAAUUUAACUAACAAAGGUUUUGUUAAAUCUUGGAUUUUGAUGAUGAAGUUAAUUGUCAUUUGGUUAUCUAAUCCGUAUAUUGAGAUAAGUGUACAGGAUUAACUAUGAUGGCAGUAAGACAUGCAGCAGGUGUUAAGCCGGAGUCAAGAUCAAGAUCACAUUGGGGGUUCGAGAGUUCGUCGGAAGUCCGGACGGUCAUCGGAGGUUCUACGAGAAUAUUUCGAGAAGUCCAGGAGUUUGCCAUAGAAGCUUGUCGGAACUCACCAAGAGGAUCGUCGCAAGUCUAAGAGUUUGCCGGGAGUCCACCAGAGCAUCGUCGAGGGUUCAUCGGAUGUUCAUCGGAAGUUUGCCGGAAGCUCGCCGGAAGAAGCGAUUGAUGCACCGGAACAUGAUCUGCAGUAUUGAUGUCUUAAUUAUCGUAGUUAGCAUAUAGAUUAAGUUAGGAUUGGGAGGUGAUCCCAUUAACUUAAUUUGGGGCCAAUUGGGCCCUUGGCAGACACAAAUUGGGCCGAAUGGAUCAGCCCAUUCGGACCUAGAAUUCGUGGCCGGUGGUGGCACCGCCUAGGAGACUCGGUCUCCCAAGAGUUCUGGGUGAUAAUACCGCCCUUGUCAGGUAGUGGUACCGUCAGGACCCCGGAAAUCCAGGAAUGGACACUUUUGAGCUUCGAAUUCAAACUGAUUGGGGCCUAUAUAAACCCCACCAUUUCUUACAUGAAAGGGCACCGAAAGCUUGCUUUUAUUCUGAGUAUUUGAGAGCUUAAAAGUGUUGAAAAAGGCUAGAAUUCCUCUCCCUCUUUUCUUUCUAAGUCUUGAUCAUUCAAGAGAGGAGUGAAAACUUGUAAGGAUUGUCUCCUAAGCCCGUCAAAAGGAGAAAAGCUGUAAAAGAGUGGUUGGCCUUCGCCUAUUGAAGGAAGGCCUCUAAUAGAUGUUGGUGACCUCAUCAGAGGAGGAAACCAAAAGUAGAUGUAGGUCAAGAUUGACUGAACCACUCUAAAUCUCAGUUUGCAUUUACAUUCUACUCUUUAUCUUAACUGCAAACUGCCUCCGUUGCUUUACAGCAACUAUACUUCCGUUUGCUCUCAAGUUAAAGAUCUUUCCGAAAUGAUUUUCGUACAAAGUCUUUUUGAACCAAUAAAAGUUUUCCGCUAUACUAAUUCACACCCCCCCCCUCUCUCCCCCUCUUAGUGCUCUUGAUCCUAAUAGUUGGUAUCAGAAUGGGUUCACUCUCAGUUGGAUUAAAACCCAAAAGAGAUGACAUAUGCUGGAAACCAAGAGGGUCACUCUAUUACAUGAUCACCCAUGUUCAAUGGGAUGGAUUACACCUAUUGGAAGACCCGAAUAAGGAUCUUCCUUAUUUCCAUAGAUUUUGAACUUUGGAAUAUUGUUGAAAAUAGAUUUUUAAAGUCUUCUCUUCCAAUGAUCAAUUGGAAUGAAUUGGAGAAGAAGACUUUCGCUCUAAAUGCAAAGGCUAUGAAUGCCUUAUUUUGUGCACUUGAUAAAAACGAGUUCAACCAUGCUUCGAUUCGUGAAACUGCAUUUGAUAUUUGGCAUACACUCGAAGUGACUCACGAAGGUACGAGUAGAUUGAAAGAGUCAAAAAUCAAUCUUUUAGUAUAUUCUUAUGAAAUUUUUUGAAUGAAACCAAGCGAGACAAUAGGUGACAUGUACACCCGUUUCAUGGAUGUCAUCAAUGGUCUAAAAGGACUUGGUAAAAGUUUUUCAGAUUUUGAGCUCGUUAAUAAAAUUCUAAGAUCCCUUCUAAAGAGUUGGGACCCUAAAGUCAUUGCUAUUCAAGAGGCUAAAGAUUUAAACAACUUCCCUCUUGAAGAAUUAAUUGAGUCAUUAAUGACCUACGAAAUGACUUGCAAAGCUUGUGAAGAGCAUGAGGACACCCUUCCAAAGAACAAGAAGGAUAUGACACUUAAAACUCAAGAAGACCACUUGAGAUAAAACUCAAGUGAUGAGGACUUUGACGAUGACUUGGCACUUCUAAUAAGGAAAUUUAAAAAAUUCAUUAAAAGAAACAAAUUUAAAAAUAACACUAAAAAUAAAUUUGAACCCAAAAAGGACCAAGUUAUUUGCUACGAAUGUAAGAAGUCGGUACACUAUAAAAGUGAUUGUCCCCAAGCCAAGAAGAGAACAUCAAAGAAGAAAGCGCUCAAAGCAACGUGGGAUUACUCAAGCGCAUUCGAAAAAGAGGAGUCCAACACCAAGCAAGUUGCUCAUUAUGUACUCAUGGCCAUUAGAGAGGAGGUAUCAAAUGUAAUUGAUGCAGAUUUAUCAUUUGAUGAAUUGUUAAAUGCUUUCCAUAAUUUAUUUGAUGAAUGCAAAAUAAUUAGUAUAAAAUAUAAAUUAUUAAAAAAGGAGCAUGAUAUUCUUGUUAGUAAUUUUGAUAAAUUAAAAAUUAAACAUAAUGAUAGUUUAGUUCUAUGUACGAAAUGCCAUGACUUAGAAGUACUCUAAAAUGAGAACUUGCUACUCAAGGACACCUUAAAGAAAUUUGAGGUUAGUAGCAAGUCCUUGAACAUGAUCCUUACUGAUAAGGGUCACGUUCCUAAAAGAAAUGGAAUCGGAUUUGUGAGAAGCUCUCACCAAAAUCCAACCCCUUUCAUUAAAGGCCCUAUCUUGCAUGUUUCGUAUCAAAACAAGUGCAACUUUUGUUGCAAACAUACAUAUAGAACUUAUCAUUUUCCAUUCAAGAAGAUUAGUCCUAACAAAUUGAUUUGGGUUCCUAAAAGAACCGUAAUAAAUUUCAUGCAACAUGACAAACAAUUUAGAUCGGUUUUUUAGGCACCCAAGAUUAAAUGGGUACCUAAUAUUUAUCCUUUUUUGUAGAAAUAUAUAUCACCAUAAGCUAGGAACAAAAGAUGGUGCCUUGAUAAUGGAUGCUCAAGGCAUAUGACUAGAGAUCCAUCUCAAUUCUCUAAGCUCACUAGCAUAGACGAAGGCUACGUCACCUUCAGAGACAACAACAAGGGUAAAAUAAUUGGCAAAGGAACUAUAGGAAACAAAUCCAACUUCUUUAUUGAAGAUGUUUUGUUAGUUGAUGGUUUAAAACAUAACCUCUUGAGCAUUAGUCAAUUGUGUGAUAAAAGAUAUAUUGUCAAAUUAGAAUCUAAUACUUGCAUCAUUGAAAAACUACACAAAAACACAUCUAUGAUUGCAUUAAAACAAAAUAACGUAUACACCAUUGACAUCAAUGAUCUUUAUAAUGAAAUGUGUUUCUCAAUUUUGAAUGACGAUGCUUGGCUUUGGCAUAGGAGAUUAGGUCAUACUAGCAUGAAACUAAUCAUCCAAAUUUCAUCCAAAGAACUUGUAAGAGGAAUUCCUCAUAUCAAGUUCAUCAAAGAUAAUAUGUGUGAUGCUUGUUAAUUAGGAAAACAAAUAAAGGGUAGCUUUAAAUCUAAGAAUCAAAUAAGCACCUCUAGACCUUUGCAAUUGAUCCAUAUGGACUUAUUCGGAUCAAUCUCUACAUCAAGCCUAGGAGAUAGCAAAUACGCUUUUGUUAUUGUAGAUGAUUAUAGUAGAUACAUAUGAACUUAUUUCUUGAAACACAAAAGUGAAUGCUUUAGAUAUUUCACCAAGUUUUGUAAACUUGUUCAAAAUGAAAAGGGUUCUAUAAUUUUAUCAAUUCGAAGUGAUCAUGGUGGUGAAUUUCAAAACCGUGAUUUCUAAGAAUUUUGUAAAUCUAAUGGAUACAACAAUAAUUUCUCUACUCCAAGAAAUUAUCAACAAAAUGGAGUAGUAGAAAGAAAGAAUAGAAAUUUACAAGAAAUGACAAGAAUCAUGUUGAAUGAACAUAGUCUACCCAAAUCUUUUUGGGCCGAAGCCGUAAACACGGCAUGCUAUGUUAUGAAUAGAAUUUUAGUAAGACCCUUACUCACCAAAACCCCUUAUGAGUUGUGGAACAAUAAAAAAUCCAAUGUUUCAUAUUUUAAAGUUUUUGGGUAUAAGUGUUUUAUAUUGAAUGAAAAAGAUGCCUUAAGAAAAUUUGAUGCUAAAUCCGAUGAAGGAAUUUUUCUUGGUUAUUCGUCGAUUUCUAAAGCAUUUCGUAUCUUCAAUAAAAGAACUUUAAUUAUAGAAGAAUCCAUUCAUGUUGUUUUCAAUGAGAUUUCCGAAAUCAAGAAAAAUAAUUUUGAUGAUAAUGUUUAUUUUGAUUCCUUGAAUUUAAAUGAAACCCCUUCUCCAACUAGCAACUUGGAUGCAUCCACUUCCGAAACAUUCUUACUUCCGAAAUCAAGAAAAACGAUUUUGAUGAUGAUGUUAAUUUUGAUUCCUUGAAUUUAAAUGAAACCCCUUCUCCAACUAGCAACUUGGAUGCAUCCACUUUCGAAACAUCCUUACCCAAGGAUUGGAAGUAUGUAGAUGCUCAUCCUAAGGAGCUAAUCAUAGGAGACACAUCUAAAGGGGUUCAAACACGUUCUUCUCUUCAAAAAUUUUGUGCCAAUGCCGCUUUUCUCUCCCAAAUUAAACCUAAAUGUAUUGACAAAGCCAUGAAAGAUGAUUCAUAGAUUAUCGCAAUGUAAGAUGAGUUAAAUCAAUUUGAGAGAAAUGAGGUGUGGAAGCUUGUUCCCAAGCCAAAUGACCAUUUAGUUAUUGGUACUAAAUGGGUCUUUAGAAAUAAGUAAGAUGAAUCUGGUAUCGUGGUUAGAAACAAGGCUAGAUUAGUGGCCAAAGGUUUCAACCAAGAAGAAUGUAUCGAUUACGAAGAAACCUUCGCUCAUGUGGCUCAAUUAGAAGCCAUAAGGAUGCUCCUUGCCUAUGCUAGUAGUAAUAAUUUUAAGUUAUUUCAAAUGGAUGUUAAAAGCACUUUUCUUAAUAGCUUUAUUUUCGAAGAAGUUUAUGUUGAACAACCUCCCAGAUUUGAAAAUAAUAGUCUCCCUAAUCAUAUGUUUAAAUUAACUAAAGCUCUCUAUGGUUUAAAACAAGCCUCAAGGGCUUGGUACGAGAGACUUAGCUCUUUUCUUAUUAAAAAUAAUUUCUCUAAAGGCAAGGUCGAUACUACAUUGUUUAUCAAAAAUUUUAAAAAUAAUUUUCUCAUUGUUCGGAUUUAUGUUGAUUAUAUUAUCUUCGGUUCUAAGAACGAAUCUCUUUAUAAAUCUUUUGCUAAAACUAUGAGCUUUGAAUUUGAAAUGAUGAUGGGAGAAUUAACCUUCUUUUUAGGCUUACAAAUUAAGCAACUAAGUAAUGACAUCUUUAUUAGUCAAACUAAAUAUGCUUUAGAUUUGCUAAAAAGAUUUAUUAUGGAUAGCUCAAAAGCUAUCAACAAUCCUAUAAGCACCUCCACUAAGUUAGAAAUUGAUGAAAGUGAAAAAAGUUUUGAUCAAAAAACUUAUAAGGGUAUGAUAGGAAGUUUACUUUACCUCACUACAACUAGACCAGAUAUCAUGUUCAGUGUAGGACUUUGUGCUAGGUUUCAAUCGAAUCCUAAGAUAUCUCAUCUCAAAGUGUUAAAAAAAUACUUAGAUAUCUUAAAGGUACCAUAAAUCUAGGAUUAUGGUAUCCAAAAUCCGAGAAUUUUGAGCUAAUUGCUUAUGCUGAUGCAGAUUUUGCUGGGUGUAGACUAGAUAGAAAAAGCACAUCAGGAACAUGUCAAUUUUUAGGACAUGCCUUUGUUUCCUGGUCAUCUAAGAAACAAAACUCGGUUGCACUAUCAACAAUCGAAGCUGAAUAUAUUGCAGCUAGUGCAUGCUAUGCAUAAUUUAUGUGGAUGAAAAACACCUUAGAAGAUUAUAAAGUUCAUCUUAAAAAUAUUCUCAUUAAAUAUGAUAACACAAGUGUAAUAUGCUUAACAAAGAAUCUCAUUCAACACUUUAGAACAAAGCAUAUUGAUAUUAGACAUCACUUUAUACGAGAUCAUGUCACUAAUCAUGUUGUAAUUAUGGAGUUCAUUGAUACUAAACAUCAACUAGCUGAUAUUUUUACAAAGCCUUUAAGUGAAGAACAAUUUGAUUUCAUCAGAAGAGAAUUAGGAAUGUUGAUUUGUCUGAAUGCAUGAUUUUGUAUUUCUCUUUCGAAUUAAAUAUAUUUCCUGAAUGGAGCUUUCAUGAGCCUAUGUCAUAUCAAGUUUAUUUCAUAUCAAUGCUCCAUGAUUUUUGACAUAUAGAAUUGAUUAACAAAUGCAUCUCUCAUGGAUUUACCUUGUGAAAAAUGAUUUUUAAUCGAGAAAUAGAUUUAAUGAAUGAAUUCCUUCUUGAUGAAGGAAGACUUUUUUUAAUAAACACUUGCAAGAAUUUAAUUUCACAUGUAUAUCUUGAUUCUUAUAAAGAUGAAGCAUGAUUUAAUCUCUUAUCAUUUUUAACUUCAUUCAAAGUUAGUUCACAAUGGCUUUCCUCCUUCAUGCAAAACGUUAAUGACAAACAAGGAAGAAGUAAUGAAAGCUAUCUCCUUAAUGGACUUUUGAAUGAUACCACGUCAUGAUUGCUUGAAAAAUAAUCUGUAUGAGUGGUAUCUUAUGGUUGAAAAAUAAUAUGAAUCUUUACCACACUCAUUACUAUGGUUGAAAUAUACUUGAAUUAUUCUCCUUUUUGUUGAUGACAAAGGGGGAGAAAUAUGUGGUAAAUUGAUGAUAUGAUGAAUUGCUAUGAUUGCCAUAUUUGCAUUAAUGAUAAUAUAUCUAGAGCUUACAUUGUAAUUUUACAAUGUUGAUAUCUUGCCAUAUGAUGAAUUGCUAUGAUUGUCAUAUUUGCAUCAUGUUAAGAUAUCUAGAACUUACAUCGCAAUCUUACAAAUUGAUAUCUUAUCAUGUGAUGAAUUGCUACGAUUGCUAUCUUUCACAUAUGAAAAUAUAAGACUUGAAAAUGGAUGUCAAGCCUUGACAUCAUUUUCAAAAAGAUACAUCAUGAUAGGAAUCAUGAUGGGGGUAUUGAUAAGUUUAAAUGAACUUAACUUAUCAAUAUGUCUCUUGAAUUCAAAGGCUUUGAAUUCAAUAAUAACUUAUCUCAAGUAUGACAUAUAGAUAGGGGGAGUUAAGGUUAAAUCCGUCAUCAAUUGAUUGUCGUCAUAAAAAAGGGGGAGAUUGCUGAAUCUCGGAUUUUGAUGAUGAAAUCAAUUGUCAUUUGGUUAUCAAAUCCGUAUGUUGAGAUAAGUAUGCAGAAUUAACUACGAUGGUAGUAAGACAUGCAGUAGGUGUUAAGCCGGAGUCAAGACCAAGAUCACGUUGGGGGUUCGAGAGUUCGUCGGAAGUUCGGACGGUCGUCGGAGGUUCUGCGGGAACAAUCCGAGAAGUCUAGGAGCUUACUAAAGAAGCUCGUCGAAACUCGCCAAGAGGAUCGUCGCAAGUCCAGGAGUUUGCCGAGAGUCCGCCGGAGCAUCACCGAGGGUUCGUCGAAUGUUCGCCGGAAGUUUGCCGGAAGCUCGUCGGAAGAAGCGAUUGACGCACCGGAACACGAUCUGCAGUAUUGAUGUAUUAAUUGUCGUAGUUAGCAUGUAGAUUAAGUUAGGAUUGGGAGGUGAUUCCAUUAACUUAAACUGGGGCCAACUGGGCCCUUGGUAGACCCAAAUUGGGUUGAAUGGAUCAGCCCAUUCGGACCCAGAAUUCCUGGCCGGUGGUGGCACCGACCAAGAGACUCGGUCUCUUAAGAGUUCUGGGCGGUAGUACCAUCCCUAUCAAGCGGUGGUAUCACCGGCAGUUAUUACUACCAACGGUGGUACCGCCCUUGUCAGGCGGUAGUACCGCUUGAGCUCGGUCUCCGAGCGAUGUCAGGUGGUAGUACCACCCAGACUGAGUGGUAGUACCACUCAGUGAUAGAUAACAGGGGGUAGUACCGCCCAAUUAUGGCUAUGGUACGGCCAGGACCCCGAAAAUCCGGGAAUGGAUACUUUUGAGCUCCGAAUUCAAACUGAUUGGGGCCUAUAUAAACCCCACCCUUUCCUGCUUGAAAGGGCACCGAAAGCUUGCUUUUAUUCUGAGGAUUUGAGAGCUUAAAAGUGUUGAAAAAGGCUAGAAUUCCUCCCCCUCUUUUCUUUCUAAGUCUUGAUCAUUCAAGAGAGGAGUGAAAACCUGUAAGGCUUAUCUCCUAAGCCCGUCAAAAGGAGAAAAGCUGUAAAAGAGUGGUUGACCUUCACCUAUUGAAGGAAAUGCCUCUAGUGGAUGUCGGUGACCUCGUCAGAGGAAGAAGCUAAAAGUGGAUGUAGUCAAGAUUGACCGAACCACUCUAAAUCUUAGUUUGUAUUUACAUUCUGCUCUUUAUCUUAACUGCAAACUGCCUCCAUUGCUUUAUAUCAAUUAUACUUCUGUUUGCUCUCAAGUUAAAGAUCUUUUCAAAACAAUUUUCGUACGAAGUCUUUUUGAACCGAUGAAGGUUUUUCGCUGCACUAAUUCACCCCCACCCCCUCUUAGUGCCCUUGAUCCUAAUAGGUUCCAUCACUAAGUUACUUAAUUUAUAAUCCUAAGAAAAAAGUUAAUUCACCCAUUAAACUCAUUUUAAAUUCUUGGCUCAUACUAUUGGCAAAAGAUUCACAUAAAGACUCAUUUGUAGAACCAAAAAUAAUAUUAUCAACGUAAAUUUGAAUAAUAAGAUAAUUAUUUUUAAAAUAUUUAAUAAAUAAUGUAGAUCGACCUUACCUUUCAUGAAAUCAUUCUUAAUUAGAAAAGAACAAAGUCUCUCGUACCAAGCCCUUAGGGCUUGUUUCAAUCCAUAGAGAGCCUUAGAUAACUUAAAGACAUGAUUUGAAAAAAUAGCAUUCUCAAAUCCAGGUGGUUGUUCAGCAUAAACUUCUUCAGAAAUAAAGUCAUUAAGAAAAACACUUUUAACAUCCAUAUAAAAUAACUUAAAAUUAUUACAACUAGCAUCGUCAAGGAGUAUCCUUAAGGCUUCUAAUCUUGUCACAAGAGCGAAAGUUUCUUCAUAAUCGAUAUCUUCUUCUUGGUUGAAAUAUUUGGCCACUAAUCUAGCUUGGUUUUGAACCAUGAUACCAAGUUUAUCUUGCUUGUUUCUAAAGACCCAUUUAGUGCUAAUUAUAAUAUUGUUACUAAGUCUAGGAAUAAGCUUCCACACCUUAUUUCUCUCAAAUUGAUUUAACUCCUCAUGCAUUGCAAAAACCCAUGAUUCAUUUUUUACAGCAUCAUCAAUGCAUUUCGAUUCAAUUUGAGACAAAAAGUCUGCAUUCACACAAAAGAUUUUAAAAGAGGAACGAGUUUGAAUAUCUUUUGAGGUAUCUCUAAUAAUUAGCUCUUUAGGAUGAGCAUCUACAUACUUUCAUUCCUUGGGUAAAGAUUCUUUAGAAGUAGAUCCAUCUAAGUUGCUACGGAGAGGAAAAUUUUCAUUUAAAUUUAAAGUAUCAAAAUCAAAAUCAAACUCAUCAUCAAAAUCAUUUUUCUUAAAUUCAAAAAUCUCAUUAAAAACAAUAUGGAUGGAUUCCUCAAUAACUAAAGUUCUUUUAUUAAAAACAUGAAAAGCUUUAGAAAUAAAGGAAUAUCUAUUGAAUCUCGAAUUUUGAUGAUGAAACCAAUCGAUAAGUGUUUAUGUUUUAAAUUACAUUUUGAGUGAUGCAGGAUGCUUCGAUCAGGAUGAGACAAUUAAAGUAGAAAAUAUCAUGUUGGACCAAAGGAACAUGUUAGAAGAUUGGACAUCGGGUCGGUGGAUCGGUUGACGUAUCGAUAGAAGGCUUUGGACCGUGGAUUUGGGUAUCGGGCCAAGAAGAGCAAAUAUUACGUCAAGGAUAUCGAAGUUGCGGAGUCAACUGGCUGAUUGGGCAAUAGGCCACAAGAGAGGACGAUGCGCCGAAGAAUCAAAUGAAGCGUCGAGGGACCAAUGACAUUCUGGACAACAUGAUUAUUGCAUAGUAUUAAUUGUCUAGAUCGAAGUAUGUUUUACAUGUGCAGGAUUAACUACGAUAGCAAGGCAUGAAGCAAAAUGAAGUCCGGAUUCAAGGACGCGAUCACGUUGGGAGUUCGAGUUCGUUGGAAGUCCGGACGUUCAGCGGAAGUUCUGGAGGAACCAACCGAGAAGUCUCAGAGCUUACCAAAGAAGCUCAUCGGAACUCACCAAGAAGAUCAUCAUGAAGUCCAGGAGCUUGCCGGGAGUCCGCCAGAACAUUAUCGAGAGAUCGUUGGAAGUUUGUUGGAAGCUCGUCGAAAGAAUAGAUUUACGGACUUUGUUUAGCUUAGAAUAUAUCAUAAGAAUCAUAGUUAGCACGUAAUUGGGAUUGGAUUUGGGCCAACCCAAUUAGGGGCCAGCUAGGCCCAUGUAAGAACUGUGUUGGGCCCAAUAAGAAGCCCAAAAAGUACCCCAAGAAAUCUCAUCGUCAUGGCAUAGUCUUCGAGGCUGUGUCAGGCGGUGGUACCGCCUAGGAUAGUGUUAGUGUCGACUGACAUUGGGCGGUGGUACCACCCGUGCCCGGGGAACCCAGGAUGGGAAAGUUUUAGGCUCCAAGUUCGAAUCAACUUGAAGCCUAUAAAUACCCCUGUCAUCUCUGGUUAAAACACACAAGCACAAAGUAUUCAAAAGUGAUAAAACGUUGCUGCAAUCUCUAGAAUUCCCUCUACUCUAAGUGUUAGAAUUAUAUUCAAGAGAGGAGAGUGAGUGCUUGUAAGGGUUAUCUCCUAAAUCUAUGAAAAGGAGAAGAGGGGUGUAAAAGGUGAUUGGCUUUCAUCUGUUGAAGGAAGGCCUAUAGUGGACGCCGAUGACCUCAUCGGAGGAGGAAGCCGAAAGUGGAUGUAGGUCACGUUGACCGAACCACUCUAAAAUCUAGUUUGCAUUUACAUUUGUGCAAUUUAUCUUUACUGCAAACCUCUUUAAGUGCUUACUACCUUCAUUACUUUUACGAACUCGCUUUCAAGUUAAGUUUCUGAAAAUGGUUUUACGUCAGAAAUGGUUUUAUCGUACGAAAAUUUUUAAACCGUCGUUAUCCUACCGCUGCACUAAUUCACCCCCCCUCUUAGUGCCGACCCCUGAUCCUAACAAUAUCCAAGAAAGAUACCUUUAUUGGAUUUUGUAUCAAAUUUUCCUAAUGCAUCCUUUACAUUUAAAAUAAAGCAUUUACAACCAAAAACUUUGAAAUAUGAUAUAUUGGGUCUUUUAUUGUUUCACAAUUCAUAGGGAGUUUUAGAUAUGAGAGGUUUUACAAUAACCUUGUUCAUGACAUAGCAUGUCAUGUUAACAGCUUCAGCCUAAAAAUAGUUGGGUAAACUAUAUUAGUUUAACAUGGUUCUUAUCAUCUCUUGUAAACUCCUAUUUUUAAUAUGGUUCUUGAAGUAGAGAAAUUAUGGUUAUACCUAUUUAAAUCAUAAAAAAGUUAAAAAUCAUGGUUUUGAAAUUCACUAUCUAAUCACUUUGAAUAGAUGAAAUCAUAAAAUACAUUUCAUUUUGAACUGGUUUACAAAAUUUUAAAAAAUAUUUAAAGCAAUCACUUUUAUGUGCCAAGAAGAAUGUCCAAGUAUAUCUACUAUAAUCAUCAACUAUCACAAUAGCAUAUUUACUACCUCCUAAACUUGUGAUAUCAAUUGGUCCAAAUAAAUCAAUAUGAAUUAAUUGUAGUGGUCUAGAGGUGCUUAUUUAAUUUUUAGAUUUUAAGUUACUUUUUAUUUGUUUACCUAGUUGACAUGCAUCACAAACUUUAUCGUUGACAAAUUUCUUGCUAUGCAUUCCUCUUACGAGUUCUUUUGUUAUAAUUUAUGAGAUUAGUUUCAUGGUAGCAUGACCUAGUCUCCUAUGCCAAAGUCAUGCAUCAUCGUUUAAAGCGGAAAAACACCUUUCGUCAUAAAAAAUCAUCAAUAGCAUGCAUAUUAUUAUUUCUUAAGGUAGUCAUAGAUCUUUUUUCGUGUGAUAUUUCUAUUAUGCAAGCAUUAGAUUCAAAUUUGAUGAUAUAUCCUUUAUCACACAAUUGACUAAUGCUCAGUAGAUUAUGUUUUAAACCAUCUACUAAUAACACAUCUUCAAUCAAGAGAUUUAACUUAUUACCUAUGAUUCCUUUGUUAAUAAUUUUUCCCUUGUUAUUGCCUCCGAUUGUGACAUAUCCUUCGUCUUAGCUAGUGAGCUUAGAGAACUGUAUUAGAUCUCCGGUCAUAUGUCUUGAGCAUCCACUAUCAAGGUACCAUCUUUUGCUCCUAGCUUUUAAUUGUAAACACAUCUACAAUAAAGAGGGUUUUCUUUUAGGCACAUAUUUAAUUUUGGGUUCCUCAUGAAUAGAUUUACCUAUCUUAACUAUUGGUAUUGGGUUGUUUAUUGUUCUUUCAGGAACCCAAACUAAUUUGUGUGAGAUAUAUUUUUUAAAUGAACAUUUAUAAGCAAAAUAUCCACAUUUACCAUAAAAAAAUAUAUUUAUUUUCAUGGGAAACAUGUAAUGUGGGUCCUUUAACAAAUAAAGUCAAUUUUUGUUGAGUGUUUCUACUCACAAAAUCGAUUCCUACUUUUCUAUGUACAUGACCUUUAUUUGCAAGGAUCAUUUUACUUUGAUGUUGGAAAUUUUGUGCUUUGAUGCUAAAAGUUUCCAUAAUGAUGAGCAUGUUAUACUUUCAUGAUUGUGAUUUGAGAAGUUUUAAUCAUACAUCAGAUUCUUAAUCUUUGAGCACUACAAAGCACUGAUGAUUUUACCUUCAUGAUUGUGAUUAAAAAGCUAUGACAAAACAUUGUCCGAAUGCAUGAUUUUAUUUCUCUUCGGGACUUAAUGUAGUUCUUGAAUAGAGCUUUCAUGAGCCUAUGUCAUAUCAAAUUUAUUUCAUAUCCAUGCUCCAUCACUAAAUGAUUUUUGAUACAUGCAAUUAAUUGACAAAUGCAUCUCUCAUAGACUUAUCUUUUGUGAAUUUUUUUUUAAAAAUGGAUUUGAUGUAAUGAUUCUCUCACAUGAAUUCCUUCUUGAUAAAGGAAGAUUUUUUGAGAUGAACACUUGCAAGGAUUUAAUUUCACAUAUAUAUCUUGAUCCUUGUGAAAAAUGAAGCAUAAUGAAACUCUCUUAUCGAUCUUAACUUCAUUUAAAGUUGGUUCUCAAUGGCUUUACUUUCCUUACUUUCCUCCUCCAUGCAAAGCCUUGAUGAUAAAUAAAAGGGAAGAAGUAAUGAAAGCUAUCUCCUUAAUGUUGAGAACUUUUGAAUGAUACCAUAUCAUGAAUGCUUGAAAUAUGAUUGGUAUGAUUUUGUGACAUGAAUUUUUACCACACUUGCAUAUAUUGUUGAAUCAUUCUCCUUUUUGUUGAUGACAAAGGGGGAGAAAUAUGUGAUAAAUUGAUGAUAAAUGUAUGUAAUUUUAUACUUGAAAUGUUUGCAUUAUGAUAAAAAAUCUAGAGCUUAAUUUGAAAUAUUACAAAUUGAUAUCUUGUCAUGCCUUGACAUCAUUUUCAAAAAGUUACAUCAUGAUAAGAAUCAUGAUGGGUGUAUUAAUAAGUUUAAAUGAACUUAACUUAUCAAUAUGUCUCUUGAAUUCAAAAGCUUUGAAUUCAAAGAAUGACAUUUCUCAAGUAUGGCAUAUAGAUAGGGGGAGUUAAGGUUAACUCCGUCAUCAAUUGAUUGUCAUCAUCAAAAAAGGAGAGAUUGUUAAAUCUCGGAUUUUGAUGAUGAAGUCAAUCGUCAUUUGUUUAACUAAUCUAUAUGUUGAGAAAAGUGUGCAGGAUUAAUUACGAUGACAGUAAGGCAUACAGUAGGUGUUAUGUAGGAGUCAAGAUCAAGAUCACAUUAGGAGCCUGAGAGUUCGUUGGAAGUCCGGACGUUCAUCGAAAGUUCUGCAAGAACCAGCCGAGAAGUCCAGGAGCUUGCCAUAGAAGCUCAUCGGAACUCGCCAAGAAGAUCGUCGCAAAGUCCAGGAGCUUGCUAGGAGUCUGCCGAAGCAUCGCCGAGGGUUCGUCGAAUGUUCGCCGGAAGUUCGCUGGAAGCUUACCGAAAGAGCGAUUGAUGCACCAAAACAUGAAUUGCAAUAAUGAUGUCUUAAUUAUCAGAGUUAGAGUGUAGAUUAAGUUAGGAUUGGGAGGUGAUCCCACUAACUUAAUCAUGGGCCAACUAGGCCUUUAACAGACCCAAAUUGGGUCGAAUGGAACAGCACAUUCGGCCCCUGAAAUCCUGGCCGACUGUGGCACCGCUUGGGAGACUCGAUCUCCCAGGAUUUCUGGGCAAUGAUACCGCCCCUGCCAGGCGGUGGUACCGCCAGCAAUUAUUACUGCCAGCGAUGGUACUGCCCCUGUCAGGCAGUAGUACCGCCUGAGCUCGGUCUUCGAGCAUUGUCAGGUGGUAGUACCACCCAAAUUGAGCGAUAGUACUGCUCAGUGUCCGAUGACAAGCGGUAGUACCACCCAGCAAUGGUGGUGGUACCGUCAGAACCCCGAAAAUCCAGGAAUAUAUACUUUUAGGCUCUAUUUUUGAACUCAUUGGGGUCUAUAAAUACCCCACCCUUUCCUGCAUGAAAGGGCAACGAAAUUCUUGAAAUACUCUUGAGUCUUGAGGCCUUAAAGUGUUGUAAAAGCUAGAGUUCUCCUCCUCCUUUCUUCUAAGUGUUGAGAUCAUUCAAGAGAGGAGUGAAACUUGAAAGGGUUGUCUCCUAAGCCCAUCAAAAGGAGAAAAGCUAUAAAAGGGUGGUUGGCCUUCGCCUAUUGAAGGAAGGCCUCUAGUGGAUGCCGGUGACCUCGUCGUUGGAGGAAGCCAAUAGUGGAUGUAGGUCACGUUGACCGAACCACUCUAAAAUCUCAGUUUGCAUUUACUUUGAGCAUCUUUCCUUACUGUGCUUUAAAUAGGUCUACAUUCGCUUUGACGUAAAACAUCUUUCGAGAUUGGCUUUCUACGAAGACUUUACGAAAUCUACGUUUUUGUGAUUUACAUCUAAUGAACUACUUACCUCAUCUCCGAUAGUCAUUAGUGCGUAGUGAGCAACUUGCUCGGUGUUGGUUGGCUCCUCUUCUUCGGAUGCACUUGAGUCAUCUCAUAUUGUUUUAAGAAUCUUCUUCUUCUUUGGUUGCUUCUUCUUUGCUAUGGGACAUUCGCUCUUGAAAUGUCCUGGCUUCUUACAUCCGUAGCAUAUUACUUAUUCUUUUUUGGAUUCAAAUUUAUUUUUAGUGUCAUUUUUAAAUUUAUUUUUUUUAUAAAUUUUUUGAACUUUCUUGUUAAGAGUGUCAAGUCAUCAUCAAAGUCCUCAUCACUUGAAUUUUCUUUCAAGUGGUCUUCUUGAGUUCUUAGUGUCAUAUCCUUUCUAUUCUUUGGAAUGUUGUUCUAAAGCUCUUCAUGAGUAUUACAAGUCAUCUCAUAGGUCAUUAGUGACCCGAUUAGUUCUUCGAGAGGAAAGUUAUUUAAAUCCUUGGCCUCUUGGAUGGUCGUUACUUUAGGGUCUCAACUCUUUAGAAGGGAUCUUAAAAUUUUAUUAACAAGUUCAGAAUCUGAGAAACUUUUACCAAGUCCUUUUAAACCAUUGACGACAUCCGUAAAUCGGGUGUACAUGUCUCCAAUGGUCUCACUCGGUUUCAUUCAAAAUAAUUCAUAAGUAAGGACUAAAAGAUUAAUUUUUGACUCCUUUACUUUACUAAUGCCUUCAUGAGUAACUUUGAGUGUGUGCCAAAUAUCAAAAGUCGUUUCACAAAUGAACACUCAAUUGAACUCAUUUUUAUCCAAAACACAAAAUAAGGCAUUCAUAGCCUUGGCAUUUAAAGCUAAAGUCUUCUUCUCCAACUUAUUUCAAUCGCUUAUUGGAAGAGAAGACUUUUGAAAACCAUUUUCUAUAAGAUUUCAUAACUCAAAAUCCAUUGAAAUUAGAAAAAUCAUCAUUCUAGUCUUCCAAUAGGUGUAAUCCAUUCCAUUAAAUAUGGGCAGACGUGUGAUUGAAUGACCCUCUUGGUUGCCGGAAAAUGCUAUCUCUCUUGGGUUUCAAACCAAAUGAGAGUGACCGAGCUCUAAUACCAAUUGUUAGGAUCAAGAGUGACACUAAGAGGGUGAAUUAGUGCAACGAAAAAAGUGUUGAUUCCGAAAAAUAUUUAUUUCGAUUUAAUCCGUUUCAGAAAGAAACUAGACUUAAAAGCUUUCAUAAGAGUGCAAAGAGAGGGUUAAGGAAGUCUGCAGUAAUGUAAAUUGUACAAAUAGAAAAGCAAACCAGAAUUUAGAGUGUUUCAGUCGUUGCAACCUACAUCCACUUUCGAUUUUUCCUCCGUCGAGGUCAUCAAUGUCCACUAAUGGUCUUCCUUCAAUAGGCGAAGACCAACCACCUCUUUAUAGUGCUUUCUCCUUUUCACGGUUAGGAGAUAACCCUUAUAAGUCUCAUACCUCUCUUGAAUGAUCACAAUACUUAGAAAGGGAGGAGUACCACCACUGGCAGCUUUAACUGUCGACAGUACCACCGUUAAGAACACCUGGGAGACCAGGUCUACCAGGCAGUGCCACCAUCGAUCGUGAUUUCAGGUGUUGAAUGGAUUGUUCAAUCUGGCCCAAUUCAGCCUUGUUGAGGGCCUAGUUGACCCUUGACCAAGUUAGUGAGAUUACCUCAUAAUCAUAACUCAACUAAUGUUCUAACUAUGAUUAAGGCAAGCAAUUAGUCUGAUAUGUCGAUUUUUUUUUUCAACGAACCUCUGGUGAACUUCUCAGCGAAACUUCCGAUGAGCUUCCUGUCACGCCCCUCAAAAAUUUCCAUGAUUUUAAAAUUUUCAACACAAACCAAUCCAGGAUCCAAACACACAUUUGAGGACACUGAAAAACAUUCUAUCAAAUUCACAUCUAUAAAACCUGUGCAGUUUAUAAUCAUAUAUCACAUCACUCGAUAAUUCACAUUUAUGGCAACCCAAGCCAACUUGACAAACAUGAACAACAUUUAUAAAUCCACAAGCUAAAUAAAUUAUACAAUCAGAACUCCAACUAUUCACCACAAGUUCAUAUCAUCAUAAACUAGAUUUAACAUUCCGAAAUUCCAAAUUAGAGAGAUCUUCUAACACUUUUACAAGGUAUAUCCAUUUCGGUUCAUCGACAACAUUUCAUUUCAUACAAAAUAUGCUUAUACAACAAUAACAUAAUAACCAACAAGACUUGCCCAUAAUUCUGAAUAGCUCUCCACUGCCUCAGCCCAAUUCAAACAUCUCAGAGAGUGACAAACUGACCUGAAAGAUUUAUAUAACAACGAAGUGAACUAAAAACAGCUCAGCAAGUGACAAAGCAUAUCUAGCACAAAAAGUGACAGUUUCAAACGAACAAGAUAUCACAAUGCAAGAAAGAAUCCAAGAGAUACAAGGAUAUCAUCUCAUUAGAUACAGAAUCGUAAAUGUCAUUUCAUUCAUAACAUAUUGGAUUCAUAACAAAUGGAGCAUAGAGUAAUUGGAGCAUAUCAAUAGCAUACGAGAUGUUCCGGAGCAUAUCAAUUGCAAAUAGGAUAUUUCAGAACAUAUUAGUUCAUAGCAAAUAGAGCAUAGAGUAAUUGGAGCAUAUCAAUAGCGUAUGAAAUGUUCCGGAGCAUAUCAAUGACAUAUAGAACAUUUCGAAGCGUAACAAUAACAAAUGAAACAUUUCGGAGCAUAUCAAAGGCGUAUGAAAUGUUUCGGAGCAUAUCAAUGACAAAUGAAAGAUUUCAGAACAUAUCAAUGGCAUAUGGACCAUUUCGAAGCAUAUCAAAGAACGAAUACGAAAUAGAAGCUCAAACGUCGUACCCUAGCAUAAUGCAUGUGAGGUUUAACUCAGUGGUGGCUCCACGCCGUGAUGAGUUCUCGACUCCAUCCACGGGUAGCCCUUUCCUACUCGAGCCCUCUCACCCUACCCAAGUGCUAGGUCGGCUCUAAAUUUCAUAUCAAACAGAUAGAUGGUGAAGUGGGAUUCCAAACAUAAUAUGGUCCAUCCAUUUCUGAAUGACCACCAAACAUAAUCUAGAGCAUCGCGGGCUCUAAGCACAUACCCUUUACCAUUUCUGGCAAAGGUCCAAAUAAUCCCACAAACACCAGAGUACAAAAAGGUAUUGUGAACAAUAAAUUGGGACAUAUCAGAAGCACAUGCGGAACAAUGAAAUGUAUAUGUGCCUUUAUGAAACAUUACGAUACAAACAUGAUGUUUACAUAACAGAUUUAGGUAUCCAAAUACAUGUAGGACAAGAGCAUAUAAGAAUUCAAAGCAGUAAUAUAAAGUUCAAUUGAAUAAGAAAGCUAAAGGAUAUCAAUUUCCAAAGGAAUGAAACCAGAAUAUGUGAAAUCGAUCAAAGCUCGAUUUCUGGUAGAAUUCAAGAGGCACAUUGAAUAAAUGAUUUAAACUGUCAAUCGUGCUCCAAUUUACUCAGAAAUGUAUCAUUGGAAAGAUAUUUCAACUUACUUUCAGAUAGAAUAAGUCUCGUAUGAAUCGAAGUUUCCAACAAAGAGUUACAAUAGAUUUAGUAACCCAAGAUCAAAGAACAAAUCUCAAUUUUACAGAAUUCACAAGGUCGGUUUCAACAGAAAACUGGGCAGGCAUUUGGACUCUAAAUCUUUCAAUCCAGGUAUCAAAGAAAGAUCUACAAGUCUAGUUUCCAAUGAAAUAAGCUUUGAACAAAUCGGAGUUUCCAACAUCGACUUAUAGCCAGAUCAGUAUCAAAAGGUCAGAAAUUAUGAUCCCUAUUUUGCAGAAUCUGUAGGCUCAUUUGAAACAGA